UUAAGUACGUAACAAAACACAAGAACAAACAUUCACACUCCAAAAGAUUAUCAAAUUUAUAUUAUUUAGAAACUAUCACUAUUUAAGACAUCAUAACAAGUUCAAGUUCAAUGUAUUUCACACUAUUUAACAUAUACAUUACAUUACAUUACAUUACAUUACAUUACAUUACAUUACAUUACAUUACAUUACAUUACAUUACAUUACAUUACAUUAGAUGAGAUAUUCAUUAUAUAAAUUCGGUGUAAAUACAUAAAAAAGUUUUAAAUUAUUAAGGACUGUUUCAAACGUCGCGCUUCUCAUGUGCCGAACCCAUUAAAAACAAUACAGUAGAUAAUCAACUAAAAUGCCUCAUAUCUAUUGUUUCUAAUGUGUUCGCAUGAGAAGCGCGACGUUUCAAACAGGCCUAAGAUAUUCAAACUGUGCCCGGCGGCCAAAGUAUAGCAUAUGCUUUUGAGUUGACCACCGUCUACUUUUAAUAAUUGUAUUUAUUAUAUACACAAGGUGCGGAUAUGAGGUAUUCUGCAAUCUGAUUGGUUCUCUACUAGGAGGAUAUUAGCUUAUAUCCUGCUAGUAGAGAAAAACAAAAUGGCGGCUCAAACUGAAUUUCCGACAUCUUGCGAACGAGAAAACGGCAAGUUGUUCGCUUUUUAUAGCCUUUACAGGAUUAAAAACACAACGAAAACAUUCCCACAAAUU
Non-coding RNA from Paramuricea clavata, 699 nucleotides. Lineage: Eukaryota; Metazoa; Cnidaria; Anthozoa; Malacalcyonacea; Plexauridae. The record is from the annotation of a GenBank genome assembly.